GAUGAACGCUGGCGGCGUGCCUAAUACAUGCAAGUCGAGCGAACAGACGAGGAGCUUGCUCCUCUGACGUUAGCGGCGGACGGGUGAGUAACACGUGGAUAACCUAUCUAUAAGACUGGGAUAACUUCGGGAAACCGGAGCUAAUACCGGAUAUUAUAUUGAACCGCUUGGUUCAAUAGUGAAAGACGGUUUUGCUGUGACUUAUAGAUGGAUCCGCGCCGCAUUAGCUAGUUGGUAAGGUAACGGCGUACCAAGGCGACGAUGCGUAGCCGACCUGAGAGGGUGAUCGGCCACACUGGAACUGAGACACGGUCCAGACUCCUACGGGAGGCAGCAGUAGGGAAUCUUCCGCAAUGGGCGAAAGCCUGACGGAGCAACGCCGCGUGAGUGAUGAAGGUCUUCGGAUCGUAAAACUCUGUUAUUAGGGAAGAACAAAUGUGUAAGUAACUAUGCACGUCUUGACGGUACCUAAUCAGAAAGCCACGGCUAACUACGUG
RNAcentral lists this ribosomal RNA (497 nucleotides) under uncultured bacterium. RNAcentral describes it as "partial 16S ribosomal RNA". It matches the Rfam family "Bacterial small subunit ribosomal RNA", at positions 28 to 507 of the family's 1533-position model. The record is from RNAcentral.